UUGUCUUCUUCGACUGCACAUGUACUAAAAUUGGAAUGAUAGAGAUUUGCAUAGCCCCUAUGCAAGGAUGGCACACAAGUUCAUGAAGUGUUCCAGGUUUGG
This is a small nuclear RNA of Mustela putorius furo (domestic ferret), 102 nucleotides long. The record is from Ensembl. NCBI's taxonomy places the organism in Eukaryota, Metazoa, Chordata, Mammalia, Carnivora, Mustelidae.